RNAcentral lists this ribosomal RNA (2903 nucleotides) under Escherichia coli. RNAcentral describes it as "23S ribosomal RNA". It matches the Rfam family "Bacterial large subunit ribosomal RNA". The record is from RNAcentral. Lineage: Bacteria; Pseudomonadati; Pseudomonadota; Gammaproteobacteria; Enterobacterales; Enterobacteriaceae.
GGUUAAGCGACUAAGCGUACACGGUGGAUGCCCUGGCAGUCAGAGGCGAUGAAGGACGUGCUAAUCUGCGAUAAGCGUCGGUAAGGUGAUAUGAACCGUUAUAACCGGCGAUUUCCGAAUGGGGAAACCCAGUGUGUUUCGACACACUAUCAUUAACUGAAUCCAUAGGUUAAUGAGGCGAACCGGGGGAACUGAAACAUCUAAGUACCCCGAGGAAAAGAAAUCAACCGAGAUUCCCCCAGUAGCGGCGAGCGAACGGGGAGGAGCCCAGAGCCUGAAUCAGUGUGUGUGUUAGUGGAAGCGUCUGGAAAGGCGCGCGAUACAGGGUGACAGCCCCGUACACAAAAAUGCACAUGCUGUGAGCUCGAUGAGUAGGGCGGGACACGUGGUAUCCUGUCUGAAUAUGGGGGGACCAUCCUCCAAGGCUAAAUACUCCUGACUGACCGAUAGUGAACCAGUACCGUGAGGGAAAGGCGAAAAGAACCCCGGCGAGGGGAGUGAAAAAGAACCUGAAACCGUGUACGUACAAGCAGUGGGAGCACGCUUCGGCGUGUGACUGCGUACCUUUUGUAUAAUGGGUCAGCGACUUAUAUUCUGUAGCAAGGUUAACCGAAUAGGGGAGCCGAAGGGAAACCGAGUCUUAACUGGGCGUUAAGUUGCAGGGUAUAGACCCGAAACCCGGUGAUCUAGCCAUGGGCAGGUUGAAGGUUGGGUAACACUAACUGGAGGACCGAACCGACUAAUGUUGAAAAAUUAGCGGAUGACUUGUGGCUGGGGGUGAAAGGCCAAUCAAACCGGGAGAUAGCUGGUUCUCCCCGAAAGCUAUUUAGGUAGCGCCUCGUGAAUUCAUCUCCGGGGGUAGAGCACUGUUUCGGCAAGGGGGUCAUCCCGACUUACCAACCCGAUGCAAACUGCGAAUACCGGAGAAUGUUAUCACGGGAGACACACGGCGGGUGCUAACGUCCGUCGUGAAGAGGGAAACAACCCAGACCGCCAGCUAAGGUCCCAAAGUCAUGGUUAAGUGGGAAACGAUGUGGGAAGGCCCAGACAGCCAGGAUGUUGGCUUAGAAGCAGCCAUCAUUUAAAGAAAGCGUAAUAGCUCACUGGUCGAGUCGGCCUGCGCGGAAGAUGUAACGGGGCUAAACCAUGCACCGAAGCUGCGGCAGCGACACUAUGUGUUGUUGGGUAGGGGAGCGUUCUGUAAGCCUGUGAAGGUGUGCUGUGAGGCAUGCUGGAGGUAUCAGAAGUGCGAAUGCUGACAUAAGUAACGAUAAAGCGGGUGAAAAGCCCGCUCGCCGGAAGACCAAGGGUUCCUGUCCAACGUUAAUCGGGGCAGGGUGAGUCGACCCCUAAGGCGAGGCCGAAAGGCGUAGUCGAUGGGAAACAGGUUAAUAUUCCUGUACUUGGUGUUACUGCGAAGGGGGGACGGAGAAGGCUAUGUUGGCCGGGCGACGGUUGUCCCGGUUUAAGCGUGUAGGCUGGUUUUCCAGGCAAAUCCGGAAAAUCAAGGCUGAGGCGUGAUGACGAGGCACUACGGUGCUGAAGCAACAAAUGCCCUGCUUCCAGGAAAAGCCUCUAAGCAUCAGGUAACAUCAAAUCGUACCCCAAACCGACACAGGUGGUCAGGUAGAGAAUACCAAGGCGCUUGAGAGAACUCGGGUGAAGGAACUAGGCAAAAUGGUGCCGUAACUUCGGGAGAAGGCACGCUGAUAUGUAGGUGAAGUCCCUCGCGGAUGGAGCUGAAAUCAGUCGAAGAUACCAGCUGGCUGCAACUGUUUAUUAAAAACACAGCACUGUGCAAACACGAAAGUGGACGUAUACGGUGUGACGCCUGCCCGGUGCCGGAAGGUUAAUUGAUGGGGUUAGCGCAAGCGAAGCUCUUGAUCGAAGCCCCGGUAAACGGCGGCCGUAACUAUAACGGUCCUAAGGUAGCGAAAUUCCUUGUCGGGUAAGUUCCGACCUGCACGAAUGGCGUAAUGAUGGCCAGGCUGUCUCCACCCGAGACUCAGUGAAAUUGAACUCGCUGUGAAGAUGCAGUGUACCCGCGGCAAGACGGAAAGACCCCGUGAACCUUUACUAUAGCUUGACACUGAACAUUGAGCCUUGAUGUGUAGGAUAGGUGGGAGGCUUUGAAGUGUGGACGCCAGUCUGCAUGGAGCCGACCUUGAAAUACCACCCUUUAAUGUUUGAUGUUCUAACGUUGACCCGUAAUCCGGGUUGCGGACAGUGUCUGGUGGGUAGUUUGACUGGGGCGGUCUCCUCCUAAAGAGUAACGGAGGAGCACGAAGGUUGGCUAAUCCUGGUCGGACAUCAGGAGGUUAGUGCAAUGGCAUAAGCCAGCUUGACUGCGAGCGUGACGGCGCGAGCAGGUGCGAAAGCAGGUCAUAGUGAUCCGGUGGUUCUGAAUGGAAGGGCCAUCGCUCAACGGAUAAAAGGUACUCCGGGGAUAACAGGCUGAUACCGCCCAAGAGUUCAUAUCGACGGCGGUGUUUGGCACCUCGAUGUCGGCUCAUCACAUCCUGGGGCUGAAGUAGGUCCCAAGGGUAUGGCUGUUCGCCAUUUAAAGUGGUACGCGAGCUGGGUUUAGAACGUCGUGAGACAGUUCGGUCCCUAUCUGCCGUGGGCGCUGGAGAACUGAGGGGGGCUGCUCCUAGUACGAGAGGACCGGAGUGGACGCAUCACUGGUGUUCGGGUUGUCAUGCCAAUGGCACUGCCCGGUAGCUAAAUGCGGAAGAGAUAAGUGCUGAAAGCAUCUAAGCACGAAACUUGCCCCGAGAUGAGUUCUCCCUGACCCUUUAAGGGUCCUGAAGGAACGUUGAAGACGACGACGUUGAUAGGCCGGGUGUGUAAGCGCAGCGAUGCGUUGAGCUAACCGGUACUAAUGAACCGUGAGGCUUAACCUU